Dermacentor albipictus is the source of this 2188-nucleotide long non-coding RNA. RefSeq lists it as uncharacterized. The record is from RefSeq and is a predicted model, not a curated record. Lineage: Eukaryota; Metazoa; Arthropoda; Arachnida; Ixodida; Ixodidae.
UCACCAAUUCAAGAUGUGGGCACGUAUUCUCGAAAACACGAGAGCUAGUGCCAUGGGAAGCGUGUAUAUGAGCGGUGAUCAUGAAUUUGUGCUCAGUAGGUGUCAAAGAAGCCCGUAGGCCAUGCACCACCGCACUAGACGGCGCGCUGAUCGGCUCGUGUUCGCCAACUAAAGCGGGAGACACACGGUCCGAUUUGGUGUCCGAUCCGGCGUCUGACGCGCCGAAACUGCAGCCCGAAUCGAGGUGUUUUGCCGUGCCGAAGCGCCGGAUCGGACGUCCGGCGUGCGACAAACCGGGCAGAUUUUCAUCGUUCGACGUGUCCGACAACUGCACCGUCGUCUGGCCGCAGCCAUUGGCAGCGCGGCUGGCAUGUGACGUUCUCUGACGUUCCCUCCACGGAGGCGGUGCUGGCUUUCCGGUUUCUCGCAGUUAUUCUUUUUCCUUGCCUGCUGCAGUUUGUUUCUGACAUGAAAUAGUUACCAGUUCAGUAAAAUUAUCUCGAACGUGUGCCUGUUACGCAAACCAGCGCCUUGUACACUAGCGCUAAGCUACUGGUGAGAUCGGGAGCCGCGACGCGAGGGCAUUUCGCGAGCAGACAUCACACACCGACCGUCUGAGCGAGGCCGCUUGCACGUUUGCCCUUCGCAACGACUGCGUCGAGUAAACCAAUUGUAUUUAAUUACGGCCGACCUAAGUGUACAGUGUUCAUUGUUUUGGCAAAAAUAAGCACUCUUCGACGAGCUCGGACUGGAUCGCAAGCGCCGUCGGCUGCAGCGUCCGCCUAGCUAUGCCUACCGGCCCUAUCGCUGGCUUUAGCGGAGCCGUCAGUGGACAACGCGCCGUCGUGAAGUGUUCUGUCACUCACAGGGGCAUAAGUUUAUCGACAGCCUUCGCGUAAAGCGAAGCAGUGUGGUGCAGAGUUGUUUAUAUUGCGUUUCUCGACGUGGAUAUCAACUCAAGCUGGGGAGUUGGAUGUGGGCGGAGCUUACGCGCCGCUCAUGCCGUAGCAUGCAGCGCCGCACGUCGGAUCGGACACCGAAUCGUACCGCGUGCGUCUGUAUAGCUCGCUCAUGGUUCGGCUGAAGUCCCCGUAUACACUUUAUAAAUAAGGAAGCCUACCUAGGCACUGUAAACCCAAUUAUUGGGGCCUAAAUGCCUCUCCGCCUCCUACUACGGCUUCCUUUGAGUGACAGUCUGAUCUCGAAGGCCAUGCUUUUGCAACCUGCAUGCACCUGAAGCAAUUGCGAAUCUUGAAGGCAACAUCCGCUUAGUUUUUAUUAUAUAUACAUUUCCUUAAACUUCGUAUCACAAAGUACAAAGUACACACUUCUGGACCAAAUAAAUUUAUUAAAAGACUCUAUCAAAUGUUAUUAGGAAAAAACACGCAAUUUUUUCAUUUAAGAUACAUUUUUCUAAAAAACCGCAGAGUGGCGCUACUGUAGUAUUUGUUUGGUCGACACACCACGUUGGUUGUCGUAAGUGCUCCCUGCAGUAAGGUGGUAUUUGAGGUAAAUUUUAGAAGUGCCUAGACAAAACGUGCUGCUUGUUGUGUGCAGUGACCAUCCCAAACCCUCCGGACUCGUGUAACGCCAUUAGUUCGCCGUGUGUUUCGAGCGAUCCACCAGUGUCGUCAGUGAGUGCCCUAGUACAGCUCCCGUCCGAACUGCCUUUGUUCUGCCGAGCUGCUGCCGGCGCUGUUCUGCCGGCGCUCUCGUCAAAAGUCUGGUACUGGGGCUUCGAAUUGUAGUGUUUGGAAGACUGUUGAAGGUUGUGCUUUUGUGUAGCUGGAGUUCAUCGGCAGUUCUACAGUGCUUGCGCCAGAGAAACGUCGGUGCUUCUGUACCUGUUAGACGAAGGAGCGUUUGCCAAGUCUUGAAAGGUAGACAUCGGUGACGGUGUAUACGUUGAAAAGGGCCUGCUGAAGAGGCCGGUCCUGGAUGCUAACAACUCAGGCUUUCACUUCGCAGAGGGCCUCCUUAAAGCUCCUUUUUCAAUAGAAGACGUUGAAGGGAGGUCCUUCUUUGGGCGGCUGUCAAAUGCCUUCCACAGAAGGAUCUGUUGGAUUCCAAGAAGGUCAACACCAUAGUAGACUACACAACGCAACAUUUCAGCCUACUUCCAGGGCAGCUGGAGAACUCGUCCCCCUUACUAGCCCGGGGAUAUUAAAUGGAUGUGUUCAAGCACAAA